UCUAAACUUUGUUGUUUAUGAGUCUUUGAAAGAUUGGUUAGUUAAAUCCAAUCCAUUUGGUCUAGUGCAAGAUUCUGAGUUGAGUGUGACAACUCGCCUGGCAUGUGGUGCUGCACCUGGAACUGUUGGGCAAACUGUUGCUUAUCCCCUUUGAAGCACCUUUAGAUUGAAGUGCAUACUCGUGGUUGAAGUUAGAUAUUGAGAAUGUUGUGGUUGUCCACUGUAAGGCUGGAACGAACAAGGUUGAUGAUUUCUAGUCUUCUAUUAUUCUUGAAGUUCUUUCCAAUUGCUGAGGAGUCAAUGGAUUACUAUAAUCAGAAAUGAUGUGUUGAUGGAAAAGGACUUGUUCUGCCCAGUCAGAUUGGAAGCUGUGAAACAUUUUGAUCCUGGUCCUAGUGUUCCUCACAGCCAUACCAAGCCUUAUGUACGAUCUAAGGGAAGGAAGUUUAAGAGGGCUAGAGGAAGAAAGAACAACAAAGGACUUAGUGUUUAAGUUGUAUUGUUUCUGUAUUUUUCUACCAUUUUUAGUUUUGGAAUUUGAACUUGAAAUUUAUUUUGUAUUUGAAUAUUAGUUUAUUACUGUAUAAAAUAAUUAAAGCA
Molecule: non-coding RNA, 600 nt
Organism: Arachis ipaensis
Lineage: Eukaryota; Viridiplantae; Streptophyta; Magnoliopsida; Fabales; Fabaceae
Source: RefSeq, a predicted model, not a curated record